Molecule: ribosomal RNA, 497 nt
Filed under: uncultured bacterium
Lineage: Bacteria
Description: partial 16S ribosomal RNA
Rfam family: Bacterial small subunit ribosomal RNA
Source: RNAcentral
GAUGAACGCUGGCGGCGUGCCUAAUACAUGCAAGUCGAGCGAACAGAUGAGGAGCUUGCUCCUCUGACGUUAGCGGCGGACGGGUGAGUAACACGUGGAUAACCUACCUAUAAGACUGGGAUAACUUCGGGAAACCGGAGCUAAUACCGGAUAAUAUAUUGAACCGCAUGGUUCAAUAGUGAAAGACGGUUUUGCUGUCACUUAUAGAUGGAUCCGCGCCGCAUUAGCUAGUUGGUAAGGUAACGGCUUACCAAGGCAACGAUGCGUAGCCGACCUGAGAGGGUGAUCAGUCACACUGGAACUGAGACACGGUCCAGACUCCUACGGGAGGGAGGAGUGGGGAAUAUUUGAGAAUGGGCGAAAGCCUGAUCGAGCAAUGCCGCGGGGGGGAAGAAGGUCUUCGGAUUGUAAAAACCUUUUAUUUGGGAAGAAAAGAAGUAAGUAAAAACUUUGCUGGUUUGAAGGUAACCAAAGAAGAAGCCCCGGCUAAAUUCGUG